GACGAACGCUGGCGGCGUGCUUAAUACAUGCAAGUCGAGCGAGGUCCAUCUGGUGGCAACACCAGUGAAGGCCGAGCGGCGAACGGGUGAGUAACACGUGAGCAACCUGCCCCGAAGUCUGGAAUAACAUCGGGAAACCGGUGCUAAUACCGGAUCGCCCCACCUGACCGCAUGAUCGGGUGAGGAAAGAUUUAUCGCUUCGGGGAGGGGCUCGCGGCCUAUCAGCAGUUGGUGGGGUAACGGCCUACCAAGGCGUCGACGGGUAGCUGGUCUGAGAGGACGACCAGCCACACUGGGACUGAGACACGACCCAGACUCCUACGGGAGGCAGCAGUAGGGAAUCUUGCGCAAUGGGCGAAAGCCUGACGCAGCAACGCCGCGUGGGGGAUGACGGCC
This 396-nucleotide ribosomal RNA is filed under the name uncultured bacterium. Its description in RNAcentral is "bacterial SSU rRNA". It matches the Rfam family "Bacterial small subunit ribosomal RNA", at positions 28 to 416 of the family's 1533-position model. The record is from RNAcentral.